CGGGGCGAAGAUAAGGUGGAUUAGCGGCGGACGGGUGAGUAACACGUGAGUAACCUGCCUUAGACAUAGGGAUAGCCUCGGGAAACCGGGAUUAAAACCUGAUGAAACUAUCAAAUCACAUGAUUAAGAAAGUUAAAACUCCGGUGGUAAAAGAUGGACUCGCGUCCCAUUAGCUAGUUGGUGAAGGUAACGGCCCACCAAGGCAACGAUGGGUAGCCGGCCUGAGAGGGUGAACGGCCACAUUGGAACUGAGAAACGGUCCAAACUCCUACGGGAGGCAGCAGCC
Molecule: ribosomal RNA, 286 nt
Filed under: uncultured Peptoniphilus sp.
Lineage: Bacteria; Bacillati; Bacillota; Tissierellia; Tissierellales; Peptoniphilaceae
Description: partial 16S ribosomal RNA
Rfam family: Bacterial small subunit ribosomal RNA
Source: RNAcentral